GCGGAUGUGGCGGAAUUGGCAGACGCGCUGGACUUAGGAUCCAGUGCCUUUCGGCGUAAGGGUUCAAGUCCCUUCAUCCGCA
This 82-nucleotide transfer RNA is filed under the name Selenomonas sp. KH1T6. Its description in RNAcentral is "tRNA_Leu_TAG". It matches the Rfam family "tRNA". From Rfam's summary of the family: Transfer RNA (tRNA) molecules are approximately 80 nucleotides in length. Their secondary structure includes four short double-helical elements and three loops (D, anti-codon, and T loops). The record is from RNAcentral. Lineage: Bacteria; Bacillati; Bacillota; Negativicutes; Selenomonadales; Selenomonadaceae.